Molecule: ribosomal RNA, 253 nt
Filed under: uncultured bacterium
Lineage: Bacteria
Description: partial 16S ribosomal RNA
Rfam family: Bacterial small subunit ribosomal RNA
Source: RNAcentral
UACAGAGGGUGCUAGCGUUGUUCGGAAUCAUUGGGCGUAAAGGGCGUGUAGGCGGUUUGUUAAGUCAUGUGUGAAAUCCCUCGGCCCAACCGAGGAACUGCGCCCGAGACUGCUUCUCUUGAGUCCCGGAGAGGAAGAUGGAAUUCCCGGUGUAGCGGUGAAAUGCGUAGAUAUCGAGAGGAACACCAGUGGCGAAGGCGAGUCCCUGGAAAACACCUGACACUGAGGCACGAAAGCUAGGGGAGCAAACAGG